This 844-nucleotide ribosomal RNA is filed under the name uncultured Cryomorphaceae bacterium. Its description in RNAcentral is "bacterial SSU rRNA". It matches the Rfam family "Bacterial small subunit ribosomal RNA", at positions 43 to 885 of the family's 1533-position model. Lineage: Bacteria; Pseudomonadati; Bacteroidota; Flavobacteriia; Flavobacteriales; Cryomorphaceae. The record is from RNAcentral.
CAGGCCUAACACAUGCAAGUCGAACGGUAACAUGAGAGCUUGCUCUUGAUGACGAGUGGCGCACGGGUGAGUAACGCGUAUGCAAUCUACCUAUAACUGAGGAAUAGCCCAGAGAAAUUUGGAUUAAUACCUCAUAAUAACAUUUAUUGGCAUCAGUAAGUGUUUAAAACUCCGGUGGUUAUAGAUGAGCAUGCGUUCUAUUAGUUUGUUGGUAAGGUAAAAGCUUACCAAGACUACGAUAGAUAGGGGGCCUGAAAGGGUGAUCCCCCACACUGGUACUGAGACACGGACCAGACUCCUACGGGAGGCAGCAGUGAGGAAUAUUGCACAAUGGAGGAAACUCUGAUGCAGCCAUGCCGCGUGCAGGAUGACGGCCCUACGGGUUGUAAACUGCUUUUUUACAAGAAGAAACCUUGGUACGUGUACCAACUUGACGGUAUUGUAAGAAUAAGCACCGGCUAACUCCGUGCCAGCAGCCGCGGUAAUACGGAGGGUGCAAGCGUUAUCCGGAUUUAUUAGGUUUAAAGGGUUCGCAGGCGGAAUUUUAAGUCAGUGGUGAAAGCCUAUAGCUUAACUAUAGAAUUGCCACUGAUACUGAUAUUCUUGAGUGUAGAUGAAGUGGGCGGAAUAUGUCAUGUAGCGGUGAAAUGCAUAGAUAUGACAUGGAACACCAAUUGCGAAGGCAGCUCACUAAACUAUUACUGACGCUCAUGAACGAAAGCAUGGGGAGCGAACAGGAUUAGAUACCCUGGUAGUCCAUGCUGUAAACUAUGAUCACUAGAUAUUGGCGAUAUAUUGUCAGUGUUUAAGAGAAAUCAUUAAGUGAUCCACCUGGGGAGUACGU